GCCUACGGGGCGCAGCAGUAGGGAAUAUUGCUCAAUGGGGGAAACCCUGAAGCAGCAACGCCGCGUGGAGGAUGAAGGUUUUCGGAUUGUAAACUCCUUUUGUUAGGGAAGAUAAUGACGGUAUCUAACGAAUAAGCACCGGCUAACUCCGUGCCAGCAGCCGCGGUAAUACGGAGGGUGCAAGCGUUACUCGGAAUCACUGGGCGUAAAGAGCGCGUAGGCGGGAUAGCAAGUCAGAUGUGAAAUCCUAUGGCUUAACCAUGGAACUGCAUUUGAAACUGUUAUUCCAGAGUAUGGGAGAGGUA
This 305-nucleotide ribosomal RNA is filed under the name uncultured bacterium. Its description in RNAcentral is "bacterial SSU rRNA". It matches the Rfam family "Bacterial small subunit ribosomal RNA", at positions 337 to 659 of the family's 1533-position model. The record is from RNAcentral.